UCACCGUUUCAUCCCCACGAUU
Molecule: microRNA, 22 nt
Filed under: Macacine gammaherpesvirus 4 (Rhesus lymphocryptovirus)
Lineage: Duplodnaviria; Heunggongvirae; Peploviricota; Herviviricetes; Herpesvirales; Orthoherpesviridae
Description: rlcv-miR-rL1-22-3p
Gene: rlcv-miR-rL1-22-3p
Source: miRBase by way of RNAcentral